RNAcentral lists this long non-coding RNA (588 nucleotides) under Ananas comosus (pineapple). RNAcentral describes it as "long non-coding RNA (ACOM_LNC043982)". Lineage: Eukaryota; Viridiplantae; Streptophyta; Magnoliopsida; Poales; Bromeliaceae. The record is from RNAcentral.
UUAGAUGGAUGAAGUGUGUGUAUAUAGCAUUACUUAUUUUAUAUUAUAAUGUGAGUUGAUAAUAGGAAGUAUUUUAUUUUGGGGAAAACUUCAAACUCCACUAUGUAGUUUUACAUUUUCUCACUUUAGUAUUAUAUGAUUUAAAGUGUAUCAAUUUAAUAUUCUAUGAUUUUUAUCUUUUUAUUUUUGAUUCUACCAAUUUUUUUUGUUAAAUUAGUGAUAAAGUUUUUUUAUUUUUUUUGAGAGAUAGGUAGCAUGCUACCCGCUUCGUUUAUUUCAUUUAGAAAAAAACUUAGCUGAAAAUGUGAAUUAACUAGAAUUCGAACUUGGGUCUCGAGUACCAACCACUAAAUUCUUUACCACUUGAUAAAGUUAAAACUAAAAAAUACUAAAAUGAAUAUUCGAUAAACCUAUGUGGAGAUAUCUGAAAUUUUUUGUAUAUAAUUUAACGAAAUAUUAACUAAAAAAUUGACAAAAAAUUAAAAAUAAAAUUAUAAGAUACUAACUUGAUAUACUUUAAAUUACGAAAUACUAAAAGGAGAAAGUGCGAAACCACAUGGGUGGUUAUUGAAGUUUACCCUUUAUUUU